CCUACGGGAGGCAGCAGUGAGGAAUAUUGGUCAAUGGGCGCGAGCCUGAACCAGCCAAGUCGCGUGAGGGAAGACGGUCCUAUGGAUUGUAAACCUCUUUUGUCGGGGAGCAAAAGACGCCACGCGUGGCGUUCCGAGAGUACCCGAAGAAAAAGCAUCGGCUAACUCCGUGCCAGCAGCCGCGGUAAUACGGAGGAUGCGAGCGUUAUCCGGAUUUAUUGGGUUUAAAGGGUGCGCAGGCGGAAGAGCAAGUCAGCGGUAAAAUCGAGGGGUUAAACCUCUGCGCGCCGUUGAAACUGGUUUUCUUGAGUGAGUGAGAGGUAUGCGGAAUGCGGGGUGUAGCGGUGAAAUGCGUAGAUAUCAGGAAGAACACCGGUUGCGAAGGCAGCAUACCGGAGCUCAACUGACGCUGAGGCACGAAAGCGUGGGGAGCGAACAGGAUUAGAUACCCCAGUAGUC
Molecule: ribosomal RNA, 459 nt
Filed under: uncultured bacterium
Lineage: Bacteria
Description: partial 16S ribosomal RNA
Rfam family: Bacterial small subunit ribosomal RNA
Source: RNAcentral